CUGCUGCCUCCCGUAGGAGUUUGGACCGUGUCUCAGUUCCAAUGUGGGGGACCUCCCUCUCAGAACCCCUACGCAUCGUCGGCUUGGUGGGCCGUUGCCCCACCAACUACCUAAUGCGCCGCAUGCCCAUCCGUGACCGGGGUCGCCCCCUUUGGCCGGCAGGGGAUGUCCCCCUCCCGGCAUUAUGUUGUAUUAGGCGGGAUUUCUCCCGGUUAUCCAUCUGUCACGGCCAGGUUGCAUACGUGUUACUCACCCGUGCGCCGGUCGCCGGCGG
RNAcentral lists this ribosomal RNA (274 nucleotides) under uncultured bacterium. RNAcentral's name for it is "partial 16S ribosomal RNA". The record is from RNAcentral.